Pseudophryne corroboree (corroboree frog) is the source of this 437-nucleotide long non-coding RNA. RefSeq lists it as uncharacterized. Lineage: Eukaryota; Metazoa; Chordata; Amphibia; Anura; Myobatrachidae. The transcript is spliced from 5 exons. The record is from RefSeq and is a predicted model, not a curated record.
UACCACUUCAUUCUGUGACUUCCACACACAGCCAAAUUUUCUCCAGGGAUCUAUUCCUUGAGACCUAUUGAGGAAGUCGCAUCUUUUUUAUCCUUGUGAUUGUCAAACCAGCCAUAUAAGUUUUGCUUUCAGAAUUUCACGUGAGUCAACAUUGAAACCAGAAAUAAUUUUGACUAUAAGAGCAGAAGACCACACUUUAGCAGUCUGCAAAAACGCCGACAUAUGGUUGCCGACAGUCCCAAUGGACUAUGAUCAAGAGUUUUUUUAGACGGCCCUUAAGGAACUUUGCUUGAUCAGUUUUAAGGCAGUGCUUAUAAAAACACUAUUCUAUAGAUUUUAUAUACAAAAAGGAUAACCAUUUAAGUUCCAGUCAGAAGCACGAAUAUAGGAGCUCUACCCAUUAAAUUCUAAUAAAGGAGAAUUUGAUUAAUCCCUAU